This is a long non-coding RNA of Pezoporus flaviventris, 1869 nucleotides long. RefSeq lists it as uncharacterized. NCBI's taxonomy places the organism in Eukaryota, Metazoa, Chordata, Aves, Psittaciformes, Psittacidae. The transcript is spliced from 5 exons. The record is from RefSeq and is a predicted model, not a curated record.
CUUUAUUUUAAUCUGCCUCUUUGCAGAAUAACCCCCUUCAUUGAUACCGAUCGCCCAACAUCACAAGACAUCCCCGUCUCUCAGCGUGGACUCCCCCUAUCUGAAUGGUCCUUUCUGCCUUUGAUGGUCUUGGUUUUCAGAGCCCUAUCCCUCAAACACUGAUCUACCAGAGAGAAGGAGUUUCAGAUAGAUCCAGUAUCCAUCUACACUGCCAAUGAAUCAGGAGACUCGAGGACUUUGGACUCCAUUCAACCAGACCAGUCCACAGGAUGCUGUGAAAGACAACCAACCCAAAUUCAGUUGCAUUUCCACUUUUCCUGAAGCACAGAGACUGUGAUACUACAGCAUUUCAUGUGCUUCUAGAGAUCACCUAUGCUGACACAUUACUAACCAAACUUAUUUGCAAGCAAAGAGCUGCUCAAAACUUGCUUGAAGUCAAGACUCGGUUUAUUAGCCUGAUCCUGCAGCAUCCAAAAUGAAUAAGUAUCAGAAAGAGAAGAGACGCAGGUCCAGGCCAUGAUCCACGUGCAAUGUGCUCUUGGCACACCACAGACAUCUGAGUUCCAGAAGCUCAGUGCCCAGCACAGCAGUCAGCCUCAAGCUUUUCCUUGCUACUGUUCAAAGGAAUAAGGCAGUUUGGAUAUGCAAACCUGACACUGUCUGGAUACGUGGUAGCUCUGAUAUCAAUAUCAAAAUGCCUACUGGACCACCAGAGUGAUAAAACAGCCAUUGAAAAUGGGGCAAGUUUGUUUAUAACCUGUGCAGGACCAUCUACUUAAAGUGUUCCCAUAACAUGGGCCACUGCUAAACGCCUGCUCAGUUAUCUUUGGAAACAGGGCUCUUGCUUUUUUUGCCCCAUUGUUUUCCUUUGGGCUGCUUUUAAAGGGCAUUCAUUUGACAAAACCCAACAUACUAUCAAAGUGGCCUCCUAAUGGGUGUCUUAUACCCCUCAAAAAGAAAUGUCUAGUCUUUUGAAGAGAAUUCUAAUAUGCUUCAAAAAAUUCCUUCUCCAUUUUUUGUUUAAAGAAUCACUUCUUUUAAUCACUACUGAAAAAUAUAAACAAAAGACCACUAUUUUUCAUUUUUCAUUUUUAAAUGGAUUCAGAUUAACAAUUAAGAGGAAAUCUUAUCAUUUUUUUGUGAUGAAAGUUCUCAGGCUGAAAAAUACCCAGUGCUCUCCUGUUAUUGCCAUUAAGAAGCGGGUCUUAGGAGAUAAAAAGAGUAGUGAUUAAGAAAGUGGUCUUAAGAGAUAAAUAGAGCCGUGAUGCUUCUCCUAACUGUUCAAAUGGAGGUUUCAAUAAAGCAAUGCUGACUUUUUGCAGAGUGAUUAUUUUUCUGGUUUUGGGCUUUAGGAUACCAGCCAUCCAGAGAAAUCUUUUGACAUCAGGAUGAGAUCUACUAUAGGUAGCACUUAAUCCUUUAAGACUAAGGGAUUAAGCCAGUUGACCAGGAAGAGAGAUUAGAUUAAACACCUGAAAAAUACAAAACACUUCCAACCUUCUCAUUCUAGGGUUACUCUAUUUCAUAGUCCAUACAAAAACACGUAUGCAGAGUUUAAUUUCUACAUUUGACAGUAGAAGAACUGGUGAGGAGGUGAUGCCGAAAAGUUACAAAAUGGACUAACAAACAUUUAAAGUAAAGGUGCAGAAGAUGGGCAUCUUCAUAAUUCCAGGACAGAGAACUGCAUAUCCAAAACCAAGCAUUAAUAAAAAAUAUGAGAAAGCAUGAAAUGGGUGUGAUGGAUGUGGUGGCUACGUGAAAGACUUGGGAACAGUUGACUUUUCUCUUGUGAAAUAGCAGGCUACCUCUGUUUAUUUUGUUACUAACCUAGUUUUGCGCUACGAAACCUCCCAUUCAGAUGGCUCAUGC